CCGCCGGCGACCGGCGCACGGGUGAGUAACACGUAUGCAACCUGGCCGUGACAGAUGGAUAACCGGGAGAAAUCCCGCCUAAUACAACAUAAUGCCGGGAGGGGACAUCCCCUGCCGGUCAAAGGGGGCGACCCCGGUCAUGGAUGGGCAUGCGGCGCAUUAGGUAGUUGGUGGGGCAGCGGCCCACCAAGCCGACGAUGCGUAGGGGUUCUGAGAGGAAGGUCCCCCACAUUGGAACUGAGACACGGUCCAAACUCCUACGGGAGGCAGCAG
Molecule: ribosomal RNA, 273 nt
Filed under: uncultured bacterium
Lineage: Bacteria
Description: partial 16S ribosomal RNA
Rfam family: Bacterial small subunit ribosomal RNA
Source: RNAcentral